CAAGUGUUGGCCCCGCCCACCCCCACCGCUUGGCCCAGGCUCGGUUGAGUUGAGUUUUCGGCUGAGCUAGAAGAGUGCGGUUGGAGUGCGAGAGGGUCGCGGCCGCGAUGAUCCCACGGAUGAAGAAAUAAUAAGAGGGGCGACAAAAAAAAACGGGCAAGAAAGCGACUAUUCCACGACACAAAACAAUGUUCCCGAAAGGCAAAGGUACCCCGGUACCCUCGGAUGGCCAAGCCCGAGAAAAGUUGGCUCUCUACGUCUAUGAAUAUCUGCUUCACAUCGGAGCACAGAAGUCAGCACAGACAUUUUUGUCAGAGAUACGAUGGGAGAAGAACAUAACACUCGGAGAACCCCCAGGAUUCCUGCAUUCCUGGUGGUGUGUGUUCUGGGAUUUAUACUGUGCUGCACCGGAGAGAAGAGAGACAUGUGACCACUCCAGUGAAGCAAAAGCCUUCCAUGACUACAGUGCGGCAGCAGCCCCCAGCCCUGUAAUGGGAGGGAUGCCCCCUGGUGACGGUAUGCCGGGAGGACCGAUGCCGCCUGGAUUUUUCCAGGGUCCUCCUGGUCCCCAGGGCUCUCCUCACCCUCAGCCUCCUCCCCCUAACAAUAUGAUGGGACCACACAGUCAGUCCUUCAUGUCACCUCGCUUUGCCGGUGGCCCUAGAGGUCCCCCCAUAAGGAUGGUAAACCAGUCCCCAGUUGGAGGACCAGGCCCUCAUCCCAUGUUGCCUAAUAUGGACCCCACACGACCGCAAGGUCACCCUAACUUGGGGCCCAUGCAGAGAAUGAGCGGCCCUCGAGGCAUGGGGCCAAUGGGUCCUGGCCCUCAGAGCUUUGGUGGUGGGAUGAGGCCCCCACACAACACCAUGGGUCCCGGCAUGCCAGGAGUGAACAUGGGACCUGGGACUGGUCGACCAUGGCCCAAUCCUAACAAUGCGAACUCUAUGCCUUACUCAUCGCCAUCUCCUGGCGCGUACGGGGGAGCAUCUGGAGGAGGACCCCCAGGGACUCCCAUCAUGCCCAGCCCUGCAGACUCCAACAACUCUGGUGACAAUUUGUACACCAUGAUCAACACUGGACCCGGCAACCGAAAUAAUUUCCCCAUGGGUCCUGGCUCUGAUGGACCCCUGGGAGCCAUGGCUGGGAUGGAACCGCAUCACAUGAACGGGUCACUAGGCUCUGGCGACAUGGACGGCAUGAACAAGAAUUCUCCAAACAAUUUAAGUGGCAUUAGCAAUCCUCCCGGGACCCCAAGAGAUGAUGGAGAGCUGAGUGGGAACUUCCUCCACUCCUUUCAGAGCGAGAACGGAGGUGGCUCAUGGGUCAAGGAAGAACCGAUUUCUUAUUGGUGAGGAUCUGGAUAAAGAUGCCGUUACAGGAAUUGAUUUUUCACUGUUGGCGCUUUUCCGCUGCGCAGUAACAGCUCGGCUCAGCUUUACUCGUCGGGGACGUACUCUCCAACCAUGACCAUGAGUGUGUGACGUCCUCCUCCUCCUCCUCCCUCCACCCAGCCUCAUUUGCCAUCAUUCCAAGGAUUCGAACUCCCUCUCAGCCAAAUGCAUCAGCAAAGAAUCAGGGAUCCACACCUUUAAAACAAAAAGUGAAGGACAAUUUUCUCCAUAUUUGUCAGCAACCAGCUACUGAAUCCUCCCCCUAUUAGUCCUCCCGUCUUUUACAGCAAACAAUUGUUUACCUCUCGUACUUUUUAUUAUGAAUUAUCGCUUGGUGCAGGAAGUGUCUCCCCGCUUUCAAACACUGGAGAGUGUACAUAGACACGUACAGUACAUCGUGAGCCUUUUUUUAUUUUCUACUACCGCUUCUCGCCACGACACGCUCGCCGCCCGCCUUUACGGAUAGACGCCAGCCAUGUUCGUCCCCCCGCUUUGCGUCCCAUUACGGUCAGUCCGCAAACGAGAGAAUAAUGUCACACACUGACCCAACAUUGCAAUAUUUUGUUCUAUUUAAUGAUAUUUUGUCCCCCCAAGUAUGUCCAAGUGAUCCCAUUCAGGCCAAUGCAUGGAUGGCGAGUACAAACAUACUACCUACAAUAGUGCUGCUUGAAAACAUCCUAACUGUCGUCGCCACAUUGCUGCAUUUAUGACGCCCUUUUUAAACCCCUCCUCCCCGCACAUUUUUAUGUCCCGGUCAUUUUUUUGAUACGAUCUUUGACUACGUAUAUCCAAGGCCCCAGUUCUCCAGAGUUUAGUCCAAGCGCUCCCAACGGAUUUUAGUCGGCAUCUUUAUUCAACUUAGCAGCAGUCUUGUAAAUGUGAUGAGGAUUUUUUUUUUUUUUUUUUUUUUUGGUUUAUCGUUCCUCCUGUGAACAUUAUACAUGUCUGUUCUACGUUGCCUUUUAUUUGCUUAUAUUUUUUUAUUUCAAAAUUGAGGAAAGAUUGCUUGUUAAUAUAAUUUUACAAUAACUUA
This is an RNA transcript of Entelurus aequoreus (snake pipefish), 2424 nucleotides long. It is a transcript of the gene named single stranded DNA binding protein 3b, with no coding region annotated. The record is from RefSeq and is a predicted model, not a curated record. NCBI's taxonomy places the organism in Eukaryota, Metazoa, Chordata, Actinopteri, Syngnathiformes, Syngnathidae. The transcript is spliced from 19 exons.